RNAcentral lists this small RNA (65 nucleotides) under Sinorhizobium meliloti 2011. RNAcentral describes it as "putative ncRNA". The record is from RNAcentral. Lineage: Bacteria; Pseudomonadati; Pseudomonadota; Alphaproteobacteria; Hyphomicrobiales; Rhizobiaceae.
GCAGAUCGUGCAGGUGUUAGGGUUCAUCCGGCUCGGGCGGAUUCCAAAGGCACGGAAGGGAAUGG